RNAcentral lists this transfer RNA (72 nucleotides) under Bacteroidota bacterium. RNAcentral describes it as "Bacteroidetes bacterium (activated sludge metagenome) tRNA-Trp". It matches the Rfam family "tRNA". Rfam says of the family: Transfer RNA (tRNA) molecules are approximately 80 nucleotides in length. Their secondary structure includes four short double-helical elements and three loops (D, anti-codon, and T loops). The record is from RNAcentral. Lineage: Bacteria; Pseudomonadati; Bacteroidota.
ACACGCUUGGUGUAAUGGCAAGCAUGACAGUCUCCAAAACUGUCGGUCCUGGUUUAAAUCCCGGAGCGUGUG